AAGGAUGGGUCUUCAACAGCUUGCUGUUAUCGACCUGUUUUAGAAACAUCAGAGGCUCUAAGUCAUACGAGCCUCAUUGGCGGGAUUUCGCCGUCUUCGUUUCUCUUUCUUCGCGGACGAACACGCGCCUGGGGUGGCGCGCGCAUUCGGCUUGUCGGCAUUGUCGUUGAUCGAUGGUGCCGGUGCUGCGUGCCGCAAGCUGCCUCACGUGCUGAGGGCUUGUAGCUCAGUUGGUUAGAGCGCGCGCUUGAUAAGCGUGAGGUCGGAAGUUCAAGUCUUCCCAGGCCCACCAUUUUGUCGAGCGCUGCAUUCGUCUUCUGGUUACGGGGCCAUAGCUCAGCUGGGAGAGCGCGUGCUUUGCAAGCAUGAGGUCGUCGGUUCGAUCCCGUCUGGCUCCACCAGAUGGUCGAUUGACGUUAGAUCUCGGCUCGCGCCUCGUUGCUGUCAUUCGGACAGCGACGGUGGCUCAUCGUCCGCAACUUGUAUUCGCCGGCUUUGCGCAAUGCGCAGCCUGGCGGGUUUUCUGACAUCGUGAAGAGGAGAUCGAUCCGGGUUCGGGUCUUGCGGAGCAAUCUGCGGGGCUUGAUCGCGUAUCUCCGGAGCGUUUUCGGCGCCUGGUUGUUGCAAAACGGCCGGGUUGUAAAACGCUUCUUGUUGACGACGCUUGACCGCAUCGUCAUCGGGUCGAUCUUACGAAGCAAUAACUGGUCUUUCUAAUCAGUGUCCGUUUGCGGCGUCGUCUUUGAAGGUUCGUCCUUCGGGAUGUGCUGCGAGCAACAUUCUGCCGAGUGUGUGGACAUUGAUAAUGAGAGCAAUCAA
RNAcentral lists this transfer RNA (819 nucleotides) under Rhodopseudomonas palustris. The stretch from base 216 to 289 matches the Rfam family "tRNA". Lineage: Bacteria; Pseudomonadati; Pseudomonadota; Alphaproteobacteria; Hyphomicrobiales; Nitrobacteraceae. The record is from RNAcentral.